This is a non-coding RNA of Maylandia zebra (zebra mbuna), 541 nucleotides long. Lineage: Eukaryota; Metazoa; Chordata; Actinopteri; Cichliformes; Cichlidae. The record is from RefSeq and is a predicted model, not a curated record.
AUAAGUAAUAGCACAUGAAUUGUCGAUUUAGGUUUAAUGGUGCAAUGCAUCUCCUAUGCAGCUGGCGGCAGUAUGCAGCUCAAAAUAAACUUAAGGCACCGACAAAUGCAAAACACUGGGCGCGAAUAACGUUACAGGUGUAUCAAUUCUUGUGAAGGGCAUGGCUGCAGGAAACAAGUCCGUUUCUGAGUUACUCAAAGAACUUGCUAACCGCUUAGAUUGAACGUCUUCACCUCAGUCUGCGUAUUGCAGCAGUGUACUGGAGAUGAAGUGGUCCCUGGUCCAAGUUCUCAUCACAACCGCACAGUGUUAACGUUAGCAAAUGCUAACGCUAUCACAGCUAGCUCCACUCCACGAAACGCUGUUCAGGGUCAUAACACAAACAAGUCGUCAAGUCAAGCAGCUGAGGAAAGGGCUUAAGGAAACCAUGGUAUGGCCGCUUCUGACAGAAAGAUCAGACAUCAUUCCUCCUUUCUUACCAAGGGAAUCAGAGACUGCUCCCUGUUGUGAGAAGAUGAAGAUGAGGAAGAAGAGGAAUGCU